This 454-nucleotide ribosomal RNA is filed under the name uncultured Porphyromonas sp. RNAcentral describes it as "partial 16S ribosomal RNA". It matches the Rfam family "Bacterial small subunit ribosomal RNA", at positions 341 to 792 of the family's 1533-position model. Lineage: Bacteria; Pseudomonadati; Bacteroidota; Bacteroidia; Bacteroidales; Porphyromonadaceae. The record is from RNAcentral.
ACGGAAGGCAGCAGUGAGGAAUAUUGGUCAAUGGUCGGAAGACUGAACCAGCCAAGUCGCGUGAAGGAUGACGGCCCUAUGGGUUGUAAACUUCUUUUGCCGGGGGAUAAACCUGGCCACGUGUGGCCAGCUGAAGGUACCCGGUGAAUAAGCAUCGGCUAACUCCGUGCCAGCAGCCGCGGUAAUACGGAGGAUGCGAGCGUUAUCCGGAUUUAUUGGGUUUAAAGGGUGCGCAGGCGGACCUUUAAGUCAGCGGUGAAAUCCCCGUGCUCAACGCGGGAACUGCCGUUGAUACUGGAGGCCUUGAGUCAUGUCGAGGACGGCGGAAUGCAGCGUGUAGCGGUGAAAUGCUUAGAUAUGCUGCAGAACUCCGAUUGCGAAGGCAGCUGUCCAGAGAUGUACUGACGCUGAGGCACGAAAGCAUGGGUAUCAAACAGGAUUAGAUACCCUGGUA